GUUUGAUCCUGGCUCAGAUUGAACGCUGGCGGCAUGCCUUACACAUGCAAGUCGAACGGCAGCACGGGAGCAAUCCUGGUGGCGAGUGGCGAACGGGUGAGUAAUAUAUCGGAACGUGCCCAGUAGUGGGGGAUAACUGCUCGAAAGAGCAGCUAAUACCGCAUACGACCUGAGGGUGAAAGGGGGGGAUCGCAAGACCUCUCGCUAUUGGAGCGGCCGAUAUCAGAUUAGCUAGUUGGUGGGGUAAAGGCCUACCAAGGCAACGAUCUGUAGUUGGUCUGAGAGGACGACCAGCCACACUGGGACUGAGACACGGCCCAGACUCCUACGGGAGGCAGCAGUGGGGAAUUUUGGACAAUGGGCGCAAGCCUGAUCCAGCAAUGCCGCGUGCAGGAAGAAGGCCUCGGUUGUAACGU
RNAcentral lists this ribosomal RNA (416 nucleotides) under uncultured bacterium. Its description in RNAcentral is "bacterial SSU rRNA". It matches the Rfam family "Bacterial small subunit ribosomal RNA", at positions 11 to 431 of the family's 1533-position model. The record is from RNAcentral.